This 460-nucleotide ribosomal RNA is filed under the name uncultured bacterium. Its description in RNAcentral is "partial 16S ribosomal RNA". It matches the Rfam family "Bacterial small subunit ribosomal RNA", at positions 338 to 795 of the family's 1533-position model. The record is from RNAcentral.
CCUACGGGGGGCAGCAGUGAGGAAUAUUGGUCGAUGGACGAGAGUCUGAACCAGCCAAGUAGCGUGAAGGAUGACUGCCCUAUGGGUUGUAAACUUCUUUUAUAUGGGAAUAAAAUGUUCCACGUGUGGGAUUUUGUAUGUACCAUAUGAAUAAGGAUCGGCUAACUCCGUGCCAGCAGCCGCGGUAAUACGGAGGAUCCGAGCGUUAUCCGGAUUUAUUGGGUUUAAAGGGAGCGUAGGUGGAUUGUUAAGUCAGUUGUGAAAGUUUGCGGCUCAACCGUAAAAUUGCAGUUGAAACUGGCAGUCUUGAGUACAGUAGAGGUGGGCGGAAGUCGUGGUGUAGCGGUGAAAUGCUUAGAUAUCACGAAGAACUCCGAUUGCGAAGGCAGUUCACUGGACUGCAACUGACACUGAGGCUCGAAAGUGUGGGUAUCAAACAGGAUUAGAUACCCGUGUAGUC